UAGAGAAUCCAUACCACCCUGAGAACACCCGAUCUCAUCUGAUCUCGGAAGGGUCAGGCCCAGUUAGUUCUUUUUCUAAACUCAUAAAUCUCUUUAU
This 97-nucleotide ribosomal RNA is filed under the name Calidris pugnax (ruff). Lineage: Eukaryota; Metazoa; Chordata; Aves; Charadriiformes; Scolopacidae. The record is from RNAcentral.